CACACACACACACACACACACACACACACACACACACACAGUCAGUCAGUCAGUCAGUCCUAUUUUAGGCUGGGUUCUGAGCCUCCUCCUCCCCUGUCUUCCCUGCGCUCCUCAGUAUUCCCCAGCCGAUAUUUACCGAGCUCAGGCGGAAUGAGAAUUUAUGCAUUAUGUGGUGAUGAUCAGAAUGUAUUGUAAUCCUUGACCCUGGUGGCGCAUUUCAAAUGAGGAUUGGGGAUUAAGCCCCUGUGGCUGGCUGACAGACACAUUGGCUCCCUGCCCCCUGAGAACAACACAAGGCUCCUCUUUAACACAACACAUUACACAGAUACUGGGACCCUGCACUGACUGUUAUGCUGUAGUGGACACACAGAUCUGUAAUAGGUUAUAAUCUGUAUAGCAUGCUAUUGUAGGAGUGGUUACUUCUCUACCCUGGCCAACACAAACUAUAGGUUGUUUGACACCACUACAGUUUUUGCUGAAGGUGCAGUGCGGGAGUGACAUGCUCUGAGCUAGUAGGAGAGAUGCAUAGCAGAACAGAAGGCAGAACCCAGGAGAUAAACACAUGCCUCUUCCUGUGGUCUGGCCCUCUCCUCUAAAGGCUUAUGAACAGCACCAGUCUAGAUGUUAGUUCAGAAUGGAGAGCACAGGUCAACUGGCUGCACCGGAGCAGCACAGGUCAACUGGCUGCACCGGAGCAGCACAGGUCAACUGGCUGCACUGGAGCAGCACAGGUCAACUGGCUGCACUGGAGCAGCACAGGUCAACUGGCUGCACCGGAGCAGCACAGGUCAACUGGCUCCCUUGAUUCUCUAAUAAUCUCAACACAAUUAACAGAGACAUGUCACUUCUGGGGGCAUCACAUACUGCCAUCUAGUGUCUAUUCCAUAUGCAGACAGACGCACACAGGCUUCUCAGGAUGUACAUUUGUAUGUAAACGCUGAACAUUGUUUUAUGGAUGUAGAAAACAGUUGUGAUCUAUGUGCAGACAGUCGUCGUACACAAACAAAACUAGCCCCGUCUCAAAAUUAGGCUCUAUUGGCCUAUCUAUCUGAGUAGAGCCACUUUGGCUGGAACAUUUGACUGAUUGAAAUGACUGAGCUGGUCAGGGAAGGAGGAGGCAGCUCAGCAAGAUGUAGAUUGAGAGCAGCUGGGGCCUUUCCCUGAUUCCCUGCCUGCCUGUGUUGGUCUGCUUUUUGUCAUGGACAGGCCUGUCAAAGACAGUGACAGACACUUGUGUUCAGGCCGUAAUCAGACGGCACUGGGCUCCGUAAAGACCCUUCUCUGUCUCAUCUGGCCUAUUGCAUAUACCUCCCUAAUUGGAAUCCUGCAACUGGGUCACUGGCAUUAUCUCUCAAGUACCGUCAAGUCAUUGAGACGCAUGAAUGUGGAAUUAUUCCUGCUCCCAAUGCAUGAUUGAGACCUCUCCUUCUUUUCUGUGUCUUCCCUCUGUCAUCGGUUGAUUUCCUCUUCUGUCACAUUAAAAUGUUAAGUCUGUGGCGAAGCCAGGUUUGAUCAUAAUUUUGCCAUGCUUCUUGUUAUUGAAAAAGGUGAUGUUUAAAAUGUUUUUCUCCUUGAUGGUGUAGGACUGAGUUGUAUCGCUCACUAUUCGGGAAGAACGCAUUGUGCUCCUGAGUGGCACAGCGGUCUAAGGCACUGCAUCUUAGUGCAAGAGGUGUCACUACAGUCCCUGGUUUGAAUCCAGGCUGUAUCACAUCCGGCCGUGAUUGGGAGUCCCAUAGAGAGGUCGUCCGGGUUUGGCCGGGGUGCAGUGCGGGAGUGACAUGCUCUGAGCUAGUAGGAGAGAUGCAGAACAGAAGGCAGAACCCAGAAUGGACCUGACUGAUUUGGAAUCUGCCGCAUUGACUUGAAGAUACGGUUUUCUUCAUUAGGUUUAAAUAUGUGACUUUGAUACUAUCAGAAUUAUUUUUUUUGCCAAGUUGCAACAAACACUCAAACUCUCUCUCUUGUUGUGAUGUGUGUUUUGUCCUAUAUUUACAUUGUAUUUUAUUUUUAUUUUUAAUCCCAGGCCCCCGUUCCCGCAGGAAGCCUUU
Oncorhynchus tshawytscha (Chinook salmon) is the source of this 2051-nucleotide long non-coding RNA. RefSeq lists it as uncharacterized. NCBI's taxonomy places the organism in Eukaryota, Metazoa, Chordata, Actinopteri, Salmoniformes, Salmonidae. The record is from RefSeq and is a predicted model, not a curated record. The transcript is spliced from 3 exons.